CUCAACAUGUUGUCCUGUUCUGCUUGCUCUUCAGUCUGCUACUCCAUUGCACAGCAUUGUAAUAAACGAUGUAUUAUGUUGUAGAGUUGAAUGCAAUGUGGCACCCCUGGCGCCCGUGCUGUUCAAAAAGAAAAAGAAAAGAAAAAUCCCCAUGAGUGGCUUCCUUGUGCAAGUUAUUUAGUUUUGUGUGUGUCAAUGGUGCUUGAGAGCAUCUCUUCUGCCGUCUGUCGUGGUAAUUUUGCAGAAAAUCCCUUGUGUUUUGUUGAAAUAAACCCGCAGUCCUUCAUUAAGUGGAAAAAAA
Molecule: long non-coding RNA, 301 nt
Filed under: Hordeum vulgare
Lineage: Eukaryota; Viridiplantae; Streptophyta; Magnoliopsida; Poales; Poaceae
Description: long non-coding RNA (HVUL_LNC003315)
Source: RNAcentral